ACCUGGUUGAUCCUGCCAGUAGUCAUAUGCUUGUCUCAAAGAUUAAGCCAUGCAUGUCUAAGUAUAAGCAACUUGUACAGUGAAACUGCGAAUGGCUCAUUAAAUCAGUUAUCGUUUAUUUGAUAAUCCCUUACUACAUGGAUACCUGUGGUAAUUCUAGAGCUAAUACAUGC
This 173-nucleotide ribosomal RNA is filed under the name Ascobolus immersus. RNAcentral describes it as "partial 18S ribosomal RNA". It matches the Rfam family "Eukaryotic small subunit ribosomal RNA", at positions 1 to 174 of the family's 1831-position model. The record is from RNAcentral. Lineage: Eukaryota; Fungi; Ascomycota; Pezizomycetes; Pezizales; Ascobolaceae.